ACCGAAGCCCGUAACCGCCUCCGGGCGUGACGGGUGGCUGGUACCCUCCUUCUGAGGGGUGUAUGGCACAGCGUGGGGGCCGGUCUUCGGGCCGUGCAAUCCCAAUGUUGCGUCGGACCACUCCUUGGGCAACUCAGUGGGGGCAAUUGGAUAGCCCGUGGAUGCCUCUGGCGGCUUCGGCCCCGGGGGUAGCCUGGGCUGGGCGUUGGGCUUCGGUCCAUGCCCCGACCUAUUAACUAACCCUGACCCCCUCUUCAUUGAGGGUUGCCGGUGGCUCUUUGCCCUUCGGGGCAGAGUGGUCUCCCGGUUAAGAUAGUUACCUGGUUGAUUCUGCCAGUAGUCAUAUGCUUGUCUCAA
Molecule: unclassified non-coding RNA, 357 nt
Filed under: Cladonia sprucei
Lineage: Eukaryota; Fungi; Ascomycota; Lecanoromycetes; Lecanorales; Cladoniaceae
Description: partial 28S-18S ribosomal RNA intergenic spacer
Source: RNAcentral